RNAcentral lists this ribosomal RNA (918 nucleotides) under uncultured bacterium. RNAcentral describes it as "bacterial SSU rRNA". It matches the Rfam family "Bacterial small subunit ribosomal RNA", at positions 42 to 943 of the family's 1533-position model. The record is from RNAcentral.
GUUUUUGUUUUAUGAUGGGAGCCUUCCUGCAGUCGACGGUAACAGGUCUUCGGACGCUGACGAGUGGCGAACGGUGGAGUAAUACAUCGGAACGUGCCCAGUCGUGGGGGAUAACUACUCGAAAGAGUAGCUAAUACCGCAUACGAUCUGAGGAUGAAAGCGGGGGACCUUCGGGCCUCGCGCGAUUGGAGCGGCCGAUGGGAGAUUAGGUAGUUGGUGGGAUAAAAGCUUACCAAGCCGACGAUCUGUAGCUGGUCUGAGAGGACGACCAGCCACACUGGGACUGAGACACGGCCCAGACUCCUACGGGAGGCAGCAGUGGGGAAUUUUGGACAAUGGGCGAAAGCCUGAUCCAGCAAUGCCGCGUGCAGGAUGAAGGCCUUCGGGUUGUAAACUGCUUUUGUACGGAACGAAAAAGCUUCUCCUAAUACGAGAGGCCCAUGACGGUACCGUAAGAAUAAGCACCGGCUAACUACGUGCCAGCAGCCGCGGUAAUACGUAGGGUGCGAGCGUUAAUCGGAAUUACUGGGCGUAAAGCGUGCGCAGGCGGUUAUGUAAGACAGAUGUGAAAUCCCCGGGCUCUACCGGGGAACUGCAUUUGUGACUGCAUGGCUAGAGUACGGUAGAGGGGGAUGGAAUUCCCGCGUGUAUUCCUGAAGUGCGUAGAUAUGCGGAGGAACACCGAUGGCGAUGGCAAUCCCCCUGGACCUGUACUGACGCUCAUGCACGAAAGCGUGGGGAAGCAAACGGGAUUAGAUACGCUGGUAAUCCCCGCCCUAACCGAUCUCAACUGGGUUGUUAGGAAUAAGUUUUCUCAGAUAUGAAGCUAACCCUCGAAGCUAACCGCCUUAGGUAGUACGCCGCAAGGUUUAAACCCAAAGAUUUGCCGGGGAACCCUCACCGGCGGUGGUUAAUAGU